ACGCUCGACACCUACAGGAGGCAGCAGUGGGGGAUAUUGCACAAUGGGGGGAACCCUGAUGCAGCGACGCCGCGUGAGGGAAGAAGGUUUUCGGAUUGUAAACCUCUGUCCUCAGGGAAGAAGAUGACGGUACCUGAGGAGGAAGCCACGGCUAACUACGUACCAGCAGCCGCGGUAAUCUGAGCGGGCUGGCAAGGC
Molecule: ribosomal RNA, 198 nt
Filed under: uncultured bacterium
Lineage: Bacteria
Description: partial 16S ribosomal RNA
Rfam family: Bacterial small subunit ribosomal RNA
Source: RNAcentral